RNAcentral lists this ribosomal RNA (497 nucleotides) under uncultured bacterium. RNAcentral's name for it is "partial 16S ribosomal RNA". It matches the Rfam family "Bacterial small subunit ribosomal RNA", at positions 28 to 507 of the family's 1533-position model. The record is from RNAcentral.
GACGAACGCUGGCGGCGUGCCUAAUACAUGCAAGUUGAGCGAUGAAGAUUGGUGCUUGCACCAAUUUGAAGAGCAGCGAACGGGUGAGUAACGCGUGGGGAAUCUGCCUUUGAGCGGGGGACAACAUUUGGAAACGAAUGCUAAUACCGCAUAACAACUUUAAACAUAAGUUUUAAGUUUGAAAGAUGCAAUUGCAUCACUCAAAGAUGAUCCCGCGUUGUAUUAGCUAGUUGGUGAGGUAAAGGCUCACCAAGGCGAUGAUACAUAGCCGACCUGAGAGGGUGAUCGGCCACAUUGGGACUGAGACACGGCCCAAACUCCUACGGGAGGAAGCAGUAGGGAAUCUUCGGCAAUGGACGAAAGUCUGACCGAGCAACGCCGCGUGAGUGAAGAAGGUUUUCGGAUCGUAAAACUCUGUUGGUAGAGAAGAACGUUGGUGAGAGUGGAAAGCUCAUCAAGUGACGGUAACUACCCAGAAAGGGACGGCUAACUACGUG